ACAGCAGUCGCCACGGUAAUACGGAGGGAGCUAGCGUUGUUCGGGAUUACUGGGCGUAAAGCGCGCGUAGGCGGUUACUCAAGUCAGAGGUGAAAGCCCGGGGCUCAACCCCGGAACUGCCUUUGAAACUAGGUGACUAGAAUCUUGGAGAGGUCAGUGGAAUUCCGAGUGUAGAGGUGAAAUUCGUAGAUAUUCGGAAGAACACCAGUGGCGAAGGCGACUGACUGGACAAGUAUUGACGCUGAGGUGCGAAAGCGUAGGGAGCAAACAGGAUUAGAUACCCGGGUAGUCCCUGUCUCUUAUAC
Molecule: ribosomal RNA, 305 nt
Filed under: uncultured bacterium
Lineage: Bacteria
Description: partial 16S ribosomal RNA
Rfam family: Bacterial small subunit ribosomal RNA
Source: RNAcentral